UCGUCCGUCUGUCCCGCUUCAGGUUAAAGUUUUUGGUCAAGGUAGUUUUUGAUGAAGUUGAAGUCCAAUCGACUUUAAACUUGGUACACAUGUUCCCUAUGAUAUGAUCUUUCUAAUUUUAAUGCCAAAUUAGAGUUUUUACCCCAAUGUCAUGGUCCACUGAACAUGGAAAAUGAUAGUGCGAGUGGGGCAUUCGUGUACUGGGGACACAUUCUUGUUUAU
RNAcentral lists this long non-coding RNA (222 nucleotides) under Mytilus galloprovincialis (Mediterranean mussel). The record is from RNAcentral. Lineage: Eukaryota; Metazoa; Mollusca; Bivalvia; Mytilida; Mytilidae.